CCUACGGGAGGCAGCAGUGGGGAAUAUUGCACAAUGGGGGAAACCCUGAUGCAGCGAUGCCGCGUGGAGGAAGAAGGCUUUCGGGUUGUAAACUCCUUUUAUCAGGGACGAUAAUGACGGUACCUGAAGAAAAAUCUCCGGCGAAUUACGUGGCAGCAGCAGCGGUAAUACGUAGGGGGCGGGAGUUGUCCGGAAUUACUGGGUGUAAUGGGAGCGUAGGCGGGACGGCAAGUCAGAUGUGAAAACUUAGGGCUCAACUUUCAGACUGCAUUUGAAACUGCUGUUCUUGAGUGAAGUAGAGGUAGGCGGAAUUCCUAGUGUAGCGGUGAAAUGCGUAGAUAUUAGGAGGAACACCGGUGGCGAAGGCAGCUUACUGGGCUUUUACUGACGCUGAGGCUCGAAAGCGUGGGGAGCAAACAGGAUUAGAUACCCGGGUAGUC
Molecule: ribosomal RNA, 440 nt
Filed under: uncultured bacterium
Lineage: Bacteria
Description: partial 16S ribosomal RNA
Rfam family: Bacterial small subunit ribosomal RNA
Source: RNAcentral